CUAAUGGAGCUUAAGUUGGAAUGACAGAAGCUCUUAGAAAAAUGCUUUAAAGCUAAUUAAACACAGCUUAUAGCAGCUGGAUGAUGACUCAUCCCUGUAAGCUGAUUGAUAAAUAUGAACACUAACUGCUGGAAUGCAAAUUGAGGACAAAGGCUGUAUUUCAUUGGGAAAGGAUUAUAUUGUCUAAAGUGCAAUUACAUUCUAAUGGCUAUACUUUGAAUCUUAAAGCCUAGUAUUGGUCAAUCUUCGUAGUAAUUUAGCCGCAAAGGUAAUUUACUUUCUCAGUGGCAAACUGUAUAUACCUAACUUCAAUCCAGGUGACUGUAAACUCCAUUCUACACUUGGUGGACUUAUUAUAGUUGGUUUCAACCAUGUAAUGCUGUGUUGAAGGAUUAUAUAAUCUUGUCACUCACCCCACAAACAUUUACUGAGUGUCCGCCUUGUACCAGACAUUAUAUUACUCAAGGAGAAUGUGAAGAUUAAUUUGUCACAGUCGUGCCCUCAAGCAGUCAUGAGCCAGCAGAUGAGAGUGUAGUAGAAAUGUUAGGGAGAUAGGCACAGGGGAUCUUGUGAAGUUGGAGAAGAUGUGUAUAACACUAAAUGAGUUCGGGACCAUCUGAGCCCGAUUCAUUCUUUUCUUUUCAAUAAUAGCAUUAUUGAGAUAUAGUACACAUACUGUACGGUUCACUUGUUUAAAGUGUAUAGGGAUAUGUUCCUAAACAAGGGACUCUCUUAGCCAAAUUCUGGAAGAUAAAUAGGACUUGGCUAGUUGUUUGGCCUGGCAAGGCAGAAACCUGUAGUAUGUUCCAAAAUGUAGAAGUAAAAAAAAAAAAAAAAUCAUGAUACUUUAGAAAAAGCUGAUUUUAGUUCAGGCUGCUUAGGAGAUUUGGAAGGAAGGAAUAGGAUAGAAAUACAAGAUGAGGUUGUGGGUGUAGGUAGCAGCCCUGUCUGUGUUGUUUGAACUUAAAUCUGAGAAUAGUGGGAUCUUUUCAAAGGUUUCAAGUAGGUGAGUGAGUUGAUCAGAUUCAGAAAGUUUGAGAAAGAUCACUCUGACAGCAGAAUAGAGAAUGGAUAAAGGUGAGCCAAGGUAUAGAGGACCGAGCCUGGCAGCCGGCUAGCUGAGCUCUGUCCCCUGCAGUUACAACCAGGCCAGGAACAUUCAGAGUGGGGGGCAGCGUGAGUGGGACUGAUUUGAAGUGAACUGAAGUGGAACCAGCAGAGCUUGAGGAUUAAUUGGAUGUGGCACUUAAGAUGAAAAAGGUUGAUUUUCAAAGUCCUACCUCAUAGAUGAUGACACAGGAAGACCAAGCAAUAAACAGAAAAGAGAGCAAGAAGAAUCAGUUUGGGCUGGGGGAGGUGAUCCUAAAGUAUUUUCAAAUGGAACCUAUCUAGAUAAUAACAAAGGCAUUUAAAUAGGUGGCCUAUGCUUUGGGUAAUUAGCAAAGAAUAGACACAACUAAUAAAAUUCUAAUAAGAAAUAGUGGGUCAGAUUCAAGGAAAUUUUAGGAGAAUUUUGUGAAUACUAUGGAUAGUAGGUUGAAAAAUACUCCCCUCUCUCCCCCACAAGAUCAUCAGACUCUAUUGCCUGAAACCUGUAAAUGCUAUCUCAUUUGAUUAAAGGGUCUUGCAGAUGUGAUUAAAUUGGGAUAUUGUGAUGAGGAAGUUAUCCUGGGUUAUCUGAGGGGUGGCUGAUCCCAGCUGAAAGACCCUAAGAGCAGAAUUGAAGUUUCUCAGAGGCCAGCCCUGAGAUCAUGGUGGCUGAUAUUGGAGCAAGGCGGCCCCAAGUUGAGGAAUGCUGGCAGCUCCAAGUUGGAAGAGACAAGGAAUGGAUUCUCCCCUAGAACCUCUGCGGGGAGUGCAACGCUAUCAAGACCCAGACUUCAAACUUCUGGCCUCCAGAACUGUGAGAGAAUAAAAUAGUGUUGUUUUAAAGAACCAAGGAUGUGGUGAUUUUUUACUGCAGGCACAGGAACCUCUCACACUGGGCUUUUCAUCUAGUAAAUUUUGUUUAGCAAUGGACCCGUGUAAAAAGGCAUGUGAGCACAUACUGAUACCAAGCAAACACUUGGCAGCACCUGUAUUGAUUAAAAACAUUUGGGAUUAAAGCAAAUCAACAAGUUUAAAUGAUGAUUUGGUUAAAAGCAAGGCUCUUCAGCCACCACUAUUUUCUGAUUCAUAAAUUUCGUUAACCUCUCGUGUUUUUAAAAACUUCAUCCACUUCUCGUUUUUCUGCAUUUUUUGCAUCAUUCCAUUUAGUAACUUUUAGCCCAUGUGUCUUCUCUGUACUCCUCAUCAUCUUGCAAAGUCAGAACAGUUUUAAUGUCCGAUACUAAAUGGAUUAUGUAUAUAAACUGUAUAAAAUGUAUACAUACCUAAACAUAGUUUAAAAUGAGAUACUUUAUGAAUAUGUAUGUAUAAGAAAUAAUCUAUGUGGUAAACAUACGGUUUAAUCCUGUUUUGAUUACUUUGCUUAUUUUUUCUCCAGGAUGGUUUUUGAUGUCUGUUAGGUUCUAUUUUUGCUUAUUGGUACUUUAUUUUCUCCCCUGAGCAUGCCAUUGUUUUUGUAAUACAUUAUAAAAAAAAAAUUAAGGGCUGGAUUUUGAGUAUUUUACAGUGUUUCUUUUUUUAAAAAAGAUCUUAAGCUUGUCAGACUACAUUUUGUGCCAAGGAGUAAAGAAAAAUCAGAUUGCUUCAAGAAAUCCUCAGUUGCUGGAAGUAUGUUUUCUGAACUUCUCACCAAUAACUGCUUUUAUCUUGGACAGUUAGGUGGAUGGGGUGACAAGGCAGCAGACCACCAAAAUUCACCAGUAGUUGAAAAACGAAAACUGGAAACACUUGUAUUUGACCAAAUUAUGAUGAUCAGCUACUUUGCCAUAGCCAGUUGUUGCUGGCCAAACUAUCUGCAGCAUCCAUGUUUCCUCUGCUUCUUUAUCUUAGCUAUUCUUGUCCUGGUGCUCAAUACUGAUGACCUGCUGUAUCUAGUGUUACAUUUUUGCUCAGUCUGAGGCAUUUGCUUGCUAGUUCUCUUCUGAUCAACCAGCCCCGAGUGGCUCAGGGUGAAGAUGCAUAGGCAGGGCCUGGAUUCCAUUCCUUGAGUCAAGAUUCCUGGAGCUUCAUGAGGAUGAGAGAAAGGAUGAUACAUUUUCUGGACCUAUGGAGGCACGAGGAGGGGCACGUUGUUGGUAUGUGUUGAGUGAAACAACCUUAACCUGAUGUCUCCUAAGAAUUUCACAUGGCAUUUCUUAGUGUGAAGGCAGCUCACUCACAUAAAACAACUUAGAAUGUUUGAAAAAUUCAGUUGUAUUUAUUAUUUUAAUCCCCUGCUAAUUCCAGGAUUUUGUCUUAAAACCCGAUUGAGAGUAACUCUUAGGAUGUGUUUUGAAAUAGGUUUUAACUAAAGUAAUCAUGUACAUGUCUGAUUUAUCUGCAGGAGUGAUUGAAUUUGUAAGCAAUAUCUGCAACAUUUUCAUUUCCCAAAAUAUGGCUUUUGGCUUUGUAAUGACUAUGAAGCUAUUAUAUUUGUCUUCUUUAAACAUAAAAAUCAAUUGUUGGCCCAUUAUCUGUAUAAGUUAGUUAAUAAAAUCCCACCAAAUUUAACAAA
This is a non-coding RNA of Leptonychotes weddellii (Weddell seal), 3601 nucleotides long. The record is from RefSeq and is a predicted model, not a curated record. NCBI's taxonomy places the organism in Eukaryota, Metazoa, Chordata, Mammalia, Carnivora, Phocidae.